Betta splendens (Siamese fighting fish) is the source of this 3406-nucleotide long non-coding RNA. RefSeq lists it as uncharacterized. NCBI's taxonomy places the organism in Eukaryota, Metazoa, Chordata, Actinopteri, Anabantiformes, Osphronemidae. The record is from RefSeq and is a predicted model, not a curated record. The transcript is spliced from 3 exons.
GAGCAGACUGUGCGGUCCCUCAGAGUUUCUGUCACCUCUAGCAUCACUGAAGAUCAAGCUUUUACUUUGGUCUUACUGCUCCGUUCCAGCUUGGAUUAACGAGACAAUUUAAAUUUCACACAUUUAUUUACAUUUGUUGGGGGGAAAUAUAAGAAUUUUUAUUUCCAAGUUCAUCCGGUUCAACCUGAGUUACAGUGUAGUUGUUGUGCAUUAUCAUGCAGAAGAUCACAUGAUUCUGAUCUGGAGAACUUCAUAUUAGAGCAUCCAGCAACAAAGCAAACAAGCACAGGGAGAAUGUAAACAAUCCUACUGUUCAGUGAGUGAAGUGACAAAAUGUAUCUAUUCACACUGACUGAAAAUGUUUGUUUUUUUUCAGUUAUUGUUCUAAGAUUUUUCGUUCGUUUUCGUGUUCUCUUUUUAGCUGAAAAAGUAUAGAAAAGUGUUUGUUUCUCAUUGUUUGAGUUGCUGUCCGUUUCCACUAGGUGGCGCUUGUGAAUUGGAAACGCUGUUUUCACCGAGUAAUGUGAUUACGUUAAUUUGUAUAUGUAGGGCAAUGUUCCCGAACGGCCAAAAGAUGCCGCUGUUGCACCAUGUCACUGUAGAUUUUAAAGGGCUCAUAUCAUGCAAAAUCCACUUUUUAGACAUUUUGGAGUGUCCCUAUGACUCUAUGGGUCACAUAUACACACACUGAGCAAGGUAGAAAUGCAUUUCCUGCUUUUUUCACAUUUUGAAAACGUAAAUUUUCUCAUCCAAUGAAAACAGCCACGACCUACUCUGAGGCCGUUCCCCAGGUUUCGUCAUACUGGUUGAAAGUUCUCCUUGCAAAUCCUGAACCACCACCCCCACAAUGAUCCCGAACCAAAACUGGACUUCCGCCAUUUCCCCCCUCUCACUCACCGUGAACAGACCAGCACUGCAGCGCCCAAGUCCUCCCAUAGAAAUAGUUCGGUUCUUAGGUGUUCUAACCAACACCAAAGUCUCUUCACUUUACUAAGGGAUCAACAAGUGAGGAUUUGUGGGUCACUCUUAUUUUUAACGGACCGGUGCCAGAAACACUGCCUCAGCAUUUAUACGUAUGUGCAUUUCAAACGAGGGUGCGUACAAUGCUGGAUUUGUUUCACGGCUCCUGUUGGAAAAAAAGGACCUAUUCCUAAAGUCCGUCAUCCACUCACUGAAGAGGGCAAAUCCCAGUUGCCCACAUGCAAGGAGGCUGUUAAACAGAGAAAUCACUGCAGACUGUUGGUACACAGACAUCUGCUGCCCAGCUCAGGAGUAAAGUACCUUUUGUUUUGAUGAGGUGAUGGUGAGGACAGCCACAGCUUCCAUCUGGUAGAGGACUGCUUCCGCUCAGUCUUCCAAAUAGUGAUGAGAACAAGGAUCACCACAUCUCCCUGUUUACCCUACUUUCAUGCAUUUCGUCUGCAAGGCCCUGCAAAAGCUUCUGACCUCAAACCCCCAGACCUCUUAAUUAACUCAGUAACCUAUACAUUGCACAUUGGAGUGUGAAGGUAACAGUUUGUUCUAGCUUUGGAGUAGUGGUGUAUUUUUUUGGUUUACAAUAAAGUUGGCUUUAACUAUUAUGUAUUUCACUAAACUCUGUUUCUGAAGGUAAAACACUUUUAUUUAGGAAAUCAUAGUAUUGAAAUUACAUGUUUUUCUCUUUCUAAUAUGGUAAGCUAUAAAGUUGAAGCGGCCAUAAAUAAAAAGCACAUAAAUUAUAUAUAAAUAAAAUAAAAAAAUUCUUAAUGAAUGUUGCACUCACAAAAAACACAUUUUUACUCAAAUGGUAAAGGAGUUAUUCCACAGGUGGUUUACAUCAAUCAUACUAUAAGUGUUUUAGUGUUUUAUCCAUCAGGAAACUGCCUUCAUCUACAACCCAAGCAUGAAGAGAUGGCAACUCAGAUUCUUCACCCCAGAAAUCCUCAGCACCAGCCCACUAGCCUCUGUAGACUACAUACCUGUAACAACUUCAGAUACAGAGACAUAUUACUGUCAGAUUUAUCAAGAAUGACAAAAAACAUAAUUAAAAGCAGUAAAAAUACGUUAGGUCAAUAUAUAAUUUGAACCAAUGCUUUUUGUUUCCAGGAAGGUCAUGCAGUGAUUGCUCUAAAUAUUAAUGCACAUUUUUUAAAUAAAAUUGUCAGAGCAGCAGCACAAGUAAGACAAAAACAGUGAAAUGUGUAAAUGUAAAAUGUAUUUAUAUUAUUUCAGCUAUGCUCUCAAACUUAUUUAUUUAAAUAAUGUAAGCUAAAGUAGUGUUAUCUAUUAACGAGAGUUUUCCAGGUAAGUCGUGUUGUGAAUAUUCAAGCUGCACACGCCAUUUAGCAUACGCAUUAGCAACCGCUAGUCGCUUUGCAAAUUACAUAAAUCAAUUAAAUUAAAGUAAAUGCGACAUUACCAAUGAGACACAUCUUGCAUCGGCCGAAAUGUGGCGACUUCAACAGCCUCCUCUUUAGCUUCAGGGUCAGAUUCGGGAUCGUAGACGUAUGGUUCUACAACGCUACGAAUCAGCUGGCUAAUGUCAUGCAGUCCUGUAGCGGGUCUUCUUCUGUGGAGGAUUGCGGUGGAUUGCAUUCUCAAUGUCGCACUACUGCCACCUAUUGUAUCGUAACCGUGCGGUGGCUCGUAUCCAUGGAGCCAAUUAAAAAAAAAAACAACAACAACAAAAAAGGUAUGCGCUUCCGCACAGAGGUGUGGUGAGCAGCUUCGCUUGCGACACGCCCAGAAAACACAGCGUUUGCUGAUGGGGAGUGAGAACCACAUAUUGACAGGGGCAGUGUGGACGAUCUAAAGGGUUUUAUGGGAUGAAAAUUUACAGAGACCUUACUGAGACAUUAAAGUCUAAUAUUUUUUAGAAUGAAAAGUAUGAUAUGACUCCUUUAAGUUUUGUUUCUCGGCCUGUCCCUCCCGGGACGCUGUAGUUUUGUUCCCAUGUGCGCGCUGGUUGCCAUAUUGGCUCAUAUUAUGCUGCGCUGCAACAUAGGUAAGCAGUGAGCAUGGCUGCUCAAAGCAUCCAUGAAUAUCAAUGCUAAUAACGCCCAUCUGGCUUAUUUGUUUAUGUGUAUUAAUAACUAAUGUGCAAUAUCAUAGUUUUGGUUAAAAUUGAGUGACAGUUGUCUGUGUUUUUGUACUUUUAUAACAUUUGGAGGAUGUGGCAUGUGUAGCCGUUUUCUGUUAAGUUAUUGAUUUGAAAUAUUAUUUUUGGUCUAACUUCUUUACUGAAAGUGCUAAUUUAAUCUGAGAGUACAAGUUUUAAAUUGAGAUUAUUAUGUUUUGGUUUUAUUUAUAUGUUAUGCUGAGUACCAAUGUCUAAUGGGAAAUUUAUGUUUGUUUAUAUUGGCUGAUAUUACGCUGCGCUGCAACACAGGCUAAAUAAACGACGGCCGAGUCUGAACCGCAUCCAGAA